AGGAAAGGGACAGGUGGACAGUGACUUGGUGAUAUCUGGGUCCCCAGCUUCAGUCCUGCCUACAGUCAGCUGUGUUGUUGGGUUUCCCAGUUUAUGUGAGUGAUUCAGCUCCUUUUGAGCACAAGCAGUUUGAAUUGGGUUUCUGUCAUUGACAAUCACAAAACACAACAAAACAAAAUCAUACCUAAUGCACAUUUAGCUGUAUAAUUUCUACUACAUCGAAUUUCACUUGUUUACUUAACAUUAUAUACAGGUUUUUUACCUAAGACUUAUGAACAUUUUUAUAGUUUAUAAAAUAAUCUUGUAUUUACAUAUCACUUAAUUUUAACACAAUUAUGUGAGGUAGGGCAUAUAUAUUUUUUUAUUUAGUAAUUUUUUUUUUUUUUUUUUGAAACACAGUCUCACUCUGUUACCCAGGCUGGAGUGCAGAGAUAUAAUCAUAGCUCACUGCAACCUUGAAUUCCUGGGCUCAAAGGAUCCUCCUGCCUCAACUUCCCAAAGUGCUCGGAUUAUAGGUGUGAGCCACUGAGCCUGGCUAAUUUUUUUUUUUUUUUUUGAAGAGAUGAGGUCUCAGGCCGGGCACGGUGGCUCACGCCUAUAAUCCCAGCACUUUGGGAGGCCAAGGAGGGUGGAUCACAAGAUCAGGAGUUUGAGACCAGCCUGGCCAAUAUGGUGAAAUCCCAUCUCUACCAAACAUACAAAAAUUAGCCAGGCGUGGUGGUGCAAGACUACAGUCCCAGCUACUCGAGAGGUUGAGGCAGGAGAAUCGCUUGAACCCGGGAGGUGGAGGUUGCAGUGAGCCAAGAUCGCGCCACUGCACCCCGGUCUGGGCAACAGAGUGAGACUCUGUCUUUAAAAAAAAAAAAAAAAGAGAUGAGGUCUCACCCUGUCACCCAGGCUGGAGUGAAGUACGCAAUUAUAGCACACUGGAGCCUUGAACUCCUGGGCUCAAGGGAUCCUCCUGCCUCAGCCUCCAGAGUAGCUGGGACUACAGGAGCAGGCUACCAUGCCUGGCUGAAUUUUUUUUUUUUUUUUUUUUUUUUGAGAUGGAAUCUCGCUCUGUCACCCGGGCUGGAGUGCAGUGGUGUGAUCUUGGCUCACUGCAACCUCCACUUCCUGGGUUCAAGCGAUUUUCCUCCCUCAGCCUCCUAAGUAGCUGGGAUUACAGUCUUGCACCACCAUGCCUUGCUAAGUUUUAUUUUUAUUUAUUUAUUUUUUGAGAGAGGGUUUCACUCCCGUUGCCCAGGCUGGAGUGCAGUGGUGUGAUCUCAGCUCAUUGCAACCUCUGCCUCCCGGGCUCAAGUGAUUAUCCUGCCUCAGCCUCCCCAGUAGCUGGGACUAUAGGCAUGUGCCACCGCUCCCAGCUAAUUUUCAUAUUUUUUUUAGAGAUGAGGUCUUGCCAUGUUGCUCACUUGGUCUCGAACUCCUGAGCUCAAGUGAUCGGCCCACCUCAGCCUCCCAAAGUGCUGGAAUUACAGGUGUGAGCCACCACGCCUGGCCUAAUUUUUUAUUUUUUGUAAAGAUAGGAUCUCAUUAUGUUGCCCUGGCUGCUGUUGAACUCCUGGGCUCAAGUGAUCCUUCUGCCUUGGCCUCCCAAAGUGCUGAGAUUAUAGGUGAGAGUCACCGUGUCCAGGCAAGAAAUAUAUUUUACAGUAACCCCGCACACACGCACACACUCUUAAAGUUGCACAAAACAAUACCUACCUUAGUGCCUGUGACAUUCUCUCAUAUUUUCUAUUCUAUUUUUUUAAAAUUCUGGCUGGGCGCAGUGGCUCACGCCUGUCAUCCCAGCACUUUGGGAGGCUGAGGAAGGCAGAUCACAAGGUCAGGAGUUUGAGACCAGCCUGGCCAACAUGGUGAAACCCCUGACUCUACUAAUAAUAGAAAAAUUAGCUGGGUAUGGUGGCAGAUGCCUGUAAUCCCAGCUACUUGGGAGGCUGAGGCAGGAGAAUUGCUUGAACGUGGGAGGUGGAGGUUGCAGUGAGCCAAGAUUGCGCCACUGCAUUUUAGCCUGGGUGACAGAGCAAGACUCUGUCUCAGAAAAAAAAAAAAAAUUCUGUUUUAUUUCAGCACUUUGGAAGGCCAAGGCAGGUGGAUCCCUUGAGUCCUGAAGUUUGAAACCAGCCUGGGCAAUAUAGGGAGACCCUGUUUUCUUGCUGUGUCCAACUACCUAGAACAACCAUUGAGUCAGGAGAAAGAAUUAUGGAUCUCCUGCCCAAGGACCCAGAUGAAAGGUCUCUUUGCUUCAGGGCGCUCUUAAAAUAAAAAGAAAAGAAAAGAAAAAAUAUUCUGGUUGCAAUCUACAGUUGUUUUUUUUUUUUUUUUUUCUGGAAUGAAGUGGCGCCAUCUCAGCUCACUGCAACCUCUGCCUCCCGGGUUCAGGCGAUUCUCCUGCCUGAGCCUCCCAAGUAGCUGGGACUACAGCCGCCUACCACCACACCCAGCAAGCUUUUUUUUUUUUUUUUUUUUUGAGUCAGAGUCUCGCUCUGUCGCCCAGGCUGGAGUGCAGUGGCGCAAUCUCGGCUCACUGCAAGCUCCGCCUCCCGGGUUCACGCCAUUCUCCUGCCUCAGCCUCUCCGAGUAGCUGGGACUACAGGCGCCCGCCACCACGCCCGGCUAAUUUUUUUGUAUCUUUAGUAGAGACAGGGUUUCAUCGUGGUCUCGAUCUCCUGACCUCGUGAUCCGCCCGCCUCGGCCUCCCAAAGUGCUGGGAUUACAAGCGUGAGCCACCGCGCCCGGCCCCCAGCAAACUUUUGUAUUUUUAGUAGAAACAGAGUUUCACCAUGUUGGCCAGGCUGGCCCCAAACUCCUGAGCUCAAGUGAUCUUCCCGCCUUGGCCUCCCAAAGUGCUGGGAUUACAGGCAUGAACCAAUGUGCCUGGCCACAAUCCACAGGUUUUUGUUGUUGUUGUUUUAAAUUUUUUUUUUUUAGAGACAGGGUCUUGCUCUGUUGCCCAAGUUGGAGUGCAUUAGCAUGAUCACAGUUCACUGCAGUCUUGAACUCCUGGAGUUUUCUGUUCUUCUGUAACUACCCUGUGUUAUUCUUGUCUCAAUUUUUGAAUGGAAGAUAAUUGUUUAAGGUGUACAAGAUGGAGGCAAUAUGGUGUGGUGAUUGAGUCUUGGCUCGUGGGUCUAACAGAUUUGUGUUCAAAGCCUGGCUUUGCCACUAACUAGCUGUGUCCUUAGGCAAAUUAUACUCCAAGUCUCAGAUUCCUAAUUUGCAAAAUAAGAAUAAUAAUAAAUUAUAGUUCCUGCCCCAUUAGUUUAUUAUGAGGAUUUUUUUUUGGUAGAGACAUGGUCUCGCCAUGUUGCCCAGGCUGUUCUCAAACUCCUGGCCUCAAGUGAUCUGCCUGCCUCGGCCUCCCAAAGUGCUGGGAUUGCAGGCGUGAAUUUUUGUGCCAGCCUACUAUGAGGAUUAAUGCUUGUGAAGUGUUAAAUAUAGCGUUUGGUACGCAAUAAAAAUUCAAUUAAUGUUGUCAGUUACUCUUAAGUAUAAAUUGGGGACCAGGAAGGCAAAAAUGGAGUGUGUUUUUUCAGAUGGACAGAGAGGAGCCAGGACACAGCUCAGCUUGCUCAUGCUCAGAGAGUUAAGCUGCUGACCCUGAAGGCAGGGGGCACACAACUGUGUGUGGGAGCUGGACUAAGCAGCCGAGACAGGGCAGACAGUGUGAGAAAGCUGUUGAUGAGAGCUGCUGCUGGAUAAAAUCAUCUUUCACCUGUCUACGGCUCCCCAAGUGUUCUUUCUGCUCAUCCACCCACUACCUCUGGACCUCAACAUGACCUUUGGCAUAGUCUAAACCUGACACUCAUAACAGUUACAAAUUUCUUUGUCCCUUCUCCACUCCCACUUUUUUGAGACAGGGUCUUGCCCUGUUGCAGAGGCUGGAGUGCUCUGGUGUGAUCACGACACACUGCAACCUUGACCUCCUGGGCUCAAAUGAUCCUCCCACCUCAGCCUCCCAAGAAGCUGGGAUGUUCCACAGGCACGUUCCACUACACCCAGCUAAUUUUUAAAUUUUUUGUAGAGAGGGGGUCUCCCUAUGUUGCCCAGGGUAAGAAUUCCUAAACUCAAAUAGGCCUUUUCCUUCCAAGACUUUAGUUCUUGGGUGAUUUUACAGGUGCUUCUAUUUUCCCUUCAAGUGGAACAAAUUGGCCCCCAGCCCAAUCUGCAGAGACAGCUUUGCCUUGGGGAAGUUACUUGAUGUAGAACAAGGACAGGAGACAGGUCAAGUUGUAGUUAUUUGACUUUCGUGAUUAAGAGAGCCCUGAAGCAAAGAGACCUUUCAUCUGGGUCCUUGGGCAGGAGAUCCAUAAUUCUUUCUCCUGACUCAAUGGUUGUUCUAGGUAGGAACCAGAGCCACUUGCUGGAAGCCUGCCUUGACUUAUUUGAAUCGAUUACUGCUUUUCUUUCUUUUCCAUUCUAAGCUAUUAUGUUUUUAUGGUACUAAGCAGAUUUUCUUGAAAACUACUAGAAAACUGCCUGCUACCUGAAAGCAGCAGCUGUUUUCUUCUCUCCUGUAUUUUAUGCCACCCCAAUGCUUCUCCUAUGCAGCUUUGUCACCUAAGUUAUUUCCCUGAGGCAAAAUUUCCCCAUUCUUUCAGCUCCCCUCCUCCCAGAUCGAGAAAUUCUAGGCAUGCCCUGGACUUCUCUCUUGUAGUCUCUGGGUUUUUUUCCUUUCCAUCAGGCACCAAGUCCGGAGUUUGCGUGGCUCUGAUGUCUGCUCGUGGAUCACUGAUUGACCAGGCUGAAGCCAGCGGGUCCUUUAGAUCCCAAGGGAUAAUAUAGAGCAGGCAGCAUUUCCACCCACGCUCUGAGACUUCUCAUAAUUGCAUCAGUGCUGCACGUACCUAUGUGGAAAAUACAAGUGCACUGUCAGGCUUGGGGUUAAUGGUUUCACCUCACGUCUCAGAGGAGCAGAGUCCUAGUGCACCUGUGGAGCCUGAACCAGCUGCACUCCAAGAGGAGCAGAGAAGGGAAGCAAUUUCUUACUCCACCCCUUUCAACCACUGGCACUCACAGGCUUGCCACCUGCUCUUGCUCCUGCCAAAUGGUAUAGAGAUGAAAUCUUAGAAUAAAAGUUUUUGAACUCAAUAAAUUGUUAAUUAAUAUCUAGGAGUGGCAGAUAUAUAAUGCUUCUCUUUUCACGACAGGUCAAAGAUGAAAUCUGAUUAGGCUUUGGAGGGCGUGGUUUGCCUCUUGAAAUUCCUUGCCCCUCUUUAGAAAGCUGUGUUGCUUAGAGCACCCAAAAGUGCCCUUUAUCUAACUGAGGGAGGCGCACUUGUCUUCAUAUAUAGAGGCAGGAGCUGGCAUUGGGAAAGUCAAACCAGUUCUGCACCAUGAGGAAGAAGCAGCUUAAGACGGAGGCAGCUCCACACUGUGAACUAAGAGAAAUUCUGUAUGAAAACCAACCUGCUCCAGGAAGUCAAGCUCCCCCACCUUUUUUUUGGUCCCCGAGUUUGUUUUUACUUUGCACUUUAUUUGGAUUUUUCUCUUUGCAGUUCACGCUCCUUUCUUCAUU
Long non-coding RNA from Symphalangus syndactylus (siamang), 5518 nucleotides. RefSeq lists it as uncharacterized. The record is from RefSeq and is a predicted model, not a curated record. Lineage: Eukaryota; Metazoa; Chordata; Mammalia; Primates; Hylobatidae.